AAUUUUUUCUCAUUUUUUUGAGUUUUUUUUUCCUAUUUAUAUGUUAUUUUAGAAAAUAUAAAAAUUAUUUCUUAAUUACAUACACUUAAUUAUUCAUUAAUUUUUCAGUUUAGAAGACUCAAAAGUCUAUGUCAUUAUGAUUUUAAUAAUCAUUUAUGCAAUGAGAUAUGCAUAAAAUGUAGAAAAUUUGCGACUCAAAUGGCGUGAUUUCUUCAACAACCAAUAUGUCAAUCCUUUCCUCUUGCUCCUUUUUCUUCCUCAAUUGAUAAAUGCCACACAAAAAUGACUCUUAUUAUCAUGAUUCCUGAAGCAUAAAGGAAUUGGGGUUGAAAUCAAUAAACAAAAAUUAUCAUUAUGUUCUAAAGAAGCAAGUGAAAAUCAUCACAAAAAAAAUUCCAGAGAUCCACUAAGGAUUCCAGCAAGUGCCAGAAAGUGAGCUAGCAUAUAUCUGAUAUAGCUAGAGGUCGAGGUCGCGGAAGCACAGGGCGUGGAGGCAAGUCUGUAGUUAGAAGUAAUAAUGAUAUUACUGCAAACGUACCUACUGUUCCCACUCCUACUAUUGUUACUUCUCAAGCUGAUGUCAUAGAUGGUCAAAAUAAUACAAAUCAAGUUCAACCAUUAAUUCCUCAAAUUAGAUCAACGGUUCAAACUUUUAGUGAUGGUAGCAACCAUAAAACUCCUGAAUCAUCUCCGACUGCUCUAAAUCAGAUCAACAGAACAAGAGAAGGUACAUCUACUCUAAGGAACCAAAUAGGUGAGCGUCUUAACCAAUCGAUUUCAUCCUUGAAAAUGGCUGAACAUAAUCAACUUCUGGUCUGCUUUCUAUCUACACAUAUAUAUAUAUAUUAUUUUAUUCUGGUUGAUGAUCUAUUGUUGGUUCUUCAUUUGAGAGUUCUUAUGGACAGAAUUACAAUGGGAGUAUUCUGUAGUAUUUUGGUGGUUCUAUUGGUAGUUCAUGGUCUGUUGGUGGUUCUUGUUGUGAGUAUUUUGGUAAUUCUGUUGGUGGUUUUUGUUCUGUUGUUGGUUCUUCAUUUGGGAGGAGUUCUUAUGGGAAGAAUUUCAAUGGAAGUAUUUUGUUGUAUUUUAGUGGUUUUGUUGGUGAUUCUUGAUCUGUUGGUGGUUUUUGUUGUGAGUAUUUUGGUGGUUCUUAUUAUGUUGGUGGUUCUUGAUCUGUUCUUGAUUUUUGUUGUGAGUAUUCCAAUGUUACAUGGGAUUCCAGAAUGACAGUGAGGUAUGUUCCUGUGAGGUAUUUUGUUGGAUAGGAUUUCAAAAUUAGAUUAUUAUAUGAUGUUGUGAAUUUUUGUGUAAAAUUUGCAUCUUCUUUCCACUUUAACAAGUAUAAUUUUUUUAAUAGAUAUGACUCGAGGAAGAGGUAUAGAAUGAGGAAGCAUAGGGCAUGCGGGCAAGUCAGCAGCUAGGACUAAUAUGCCUGUUCGUACUGCAAACAUGCCUACUAUUCCCACUUCUACAGUUGCACCACAAACAGCUGGUGGCGUAGGUGCUCCAACUUCUAAUCAUGGUAGUACAUCUCCUACUACUCCAAAUCAUACCAACCCAACAACUGUAUGUACGUCUUCACAAACCAACCAAGUAGGUGAGGACAUAUCUCGUAGCAACACAAAUGGAGAAAGUAAUUCCAUUCGAAGCCAUGUACGGACCCUUGUUACUAUAACUUCUACAGGAUUGCAACCUUCUAAAGCAUGCUCCAAUAGGAUACACGAGUCUUUCAAAAGUGAACUUGAUCACAAUGGAGUCAAUUGGAAAGAAACACUUCUAUUGGGAUUCUUCCAUUACUGAUGUUGCAGUAAAGAAAUACUGUCAGAGUAAGGCAGCAACUGUGUAUAGAAAUUUCAUUGCUAAAAUCAAAGAGAAAGGGAUUAGGCAAGAUUUUAUACAUGAAGAUGUCUGGGAAAGCUAGCAGCGACUUUGGGCAGAUCCAAAGUGUGUUGAAAAGCUCAAAAUAAAUGCACAGAAUCAUCGUGGAGGCAAAGAAGUCGCUGCUGGAACUCACACGGGAGGAUCUAUCUCAAUUGGAGAGUACCGAAAGAGACUUGUAAGUAUAUAUUUCAAGUAUUAAACUGUAAUUUGUUAUGAGACAGUCUAAACUUAGUUCAACAUUACGUUAUUGCUGCAUUUCUGUUUACUAUUUAUCUCAAAUGUUGAUCACUUCUCACUAUUUCUGUCUCCUGUGUUGAAUUUGGUAUGUUGUGUUCUAUUGUUGUCUUGUAACCUGAAAAAUUGCAAUGUAAACUGUGCUUAUAUGUCGCAGAGUGGUAUAUUACUGAGGAUUCGUAUGUUUACAUGUUCUUCGAGAUGUAUUGUGUAGAAUCAAGACCUUAUGAUUCUGGAAAUUACUUGUUUGUUUUAUGUGAUUGGUUUUUAUCUUAUAUAACCUUCACACUGGAAUCUGACUGGAAAUUUUCAAAUGUUCAUUAUUAGUAUAUGUUCUCAGUAAUUUUGAUGCAAUGAAAUUCAGCAAUCUCUUUCCAGUCAUUUCUUAGUAAGAACAAUGUAAAUUGGAUAACAUAGUUCUGACCACGUGACUAAUAAUAUUUACCUGAUGACCAACUAUGUUCCACUUGAAUUAUGGCUUUACAAACAUUUCUGUGUUACAUGAAUUAUUCCAGCAGUUUUGUUCUAGUACAAUGCUCAACACUUCUUUUUUAAAGGCUACUAAAAUGGGUCGAGAUCCGACACCAAGUGAGUUACAUUUGCAUGUUCACACACAUGGUCAUGAUGGAAAAUCUUUCGUUGAUGAACGUUCCCGAAUCGUCCAUGUAAGAUUAAAUCUUAAUGUAGUAGUUUACUUAAUUCACAUUUUUUAGUUUUAAGUACUUUUUGGUAUCUAAUCAUUUGUGAGUACAAUCCAUUAUAAUUUGACUUCCACUAUUACCGGAAAGAUUUGAAGAAAUAUUAUGAGAAAAAACAAUAUCAAAAUCUGUUAUUGAUCAAAUUGAAGCAUAUUACCAAGCUGCUGGAGGAGAAAAGAAGCGAAAAGUAUUUGGUAUUGGAACUGAAGUCAAAGGCUACUACGGCCAAACUCUUGAUGGAUGUAGGUAUUGAGGAUAUUUUGGACAUACUUAUGUGUUUAGAUGUUGCUAUGUUUGGUAUUGAGGAUGUUUAGACUUUUUCUAUCUAUAUAUAUGGGUUCUUUUAUAUGCACAUUGGAUAUUAUAAGAAGAUUUUGCUAUCUAUAUAUAUGUGACUUUUUUUAUAUGAACAUUGGGUAUUAUAAGAAUUUUACACUAUUCUAUUAAUAUUCAAAAGAAAAAUAAAAAGAUAUUGAAAGAAAAGUAAUGACGACAGAUUUAGCAACAAAAUUACUCAUUGCCAAACUAAAACAUUUGCAACGGAUUGAGGAAAAUAUUUUUUGUCACAAAAAUUGGAAAUUUUUAGAGAUGGACUAGCAAUGAAAUAUUUGGUCAGGAAAUAAUCAAAAUGACAAAAUACAACAUGAAAUUAGUAACGACACUUAUAAAUAUAACAACGAAUAUAUUCAUUGCUAAAAU
This is a long non-coding RNA of Capsicum annuum, 3509 nucleotides long. RefSeq lists it as uncharacterized. The record is from RefSeq and is a predicted model, not a curated record. The transcript is spliced from 5 exons. Lineage: Eukaryota; Viridiplantae; Streptophyta; Magnoliopsida; Solanales; Solanaceae.